GUAGGUGGCAAGCGUUGUCCGGAAUUAUUGGGCGUAAAGCGCGCGCAGGCGGUUCUUUAAGUCUGAUGUGAAAGCCCACGGCUCAACCGUGGAGGGUCAUUGGAAACUGGAGAGCUUGAGUACAGAAGAGGAAAGCGGAAUUCCACGUGUAGCGGUGAAAUGCGUAGAGAUGUGGAGGAACACCAGUGGCGAAGGCGGCUUUCUGGUCUGUAACUGACGCUGAGGCGCGAAAGCGUGGGGGGAGCAAACAGGAUUAGAUACCCUGGUAGUCCACGCCGUAAACGAUGAGUGCUAAGUGUUAGGGGGUUUCCGCCCCCCCCUUAGUGCUGCAGCUAACGCAUUAAGCACUCCCGCCUGGGGAGUACGGCCGCAAGGCUG
Molecule: ribosomal RNA, 378 nt
Filed under: uncultured organism
Description: partial 16S ribosomal RNA
Rfam family: Bacterial small subunit ribosomal RNA
Source: RNAcentral